UACGUAGGGUGCGAGCGUUAAUCGGAAUUACUGGGCGUAAAGAGUGCGUAGGCGGUUCGUUAAGUCAGCUGUGAAAGCCCCGGGCUCAACCUGGGAACUGCGGUUGAAACUGGCGAACUAGAAUCUGGCAGAGGGGGGUGGAAUUCCGGGUGUAGCGGUGGAAUGCGUAGAGAUCCGGAAGAACACCGGUGGCGAGGGCGGUCUGCUGGGCCAAGACUGACGCUGAGGCGCGACAGCGUGGGGAGCAAACAGG
Molecule: ribosomal RNA, 253 nt
Filed under: uncultured bacterium
Lineage: Bacteria
Description: partial 16S ribosomal RNA
Rfam family: Bacterial small subunit ribosomal RNA
Source: RNAcentral